Molecule: ribosomal RNA, 301 nt
Filed under: uncultured bacterium
Lineage: Bacteria
Description: partial 16S ribosomal RNA
Rfam family: Bacterial small subunit ribosomal RNA
Source: RNAcentral
CAGCAGCCGCGGUAAUACGAAGGGGGCUAGCGUUGUUCGGAUUUACUGGGCGUAAAGCGCACGUAGGCGGACUUUUAAGUCAGGGGUGAAAUCCCGGGGCUCAACCCCGGAACUGCCUUUGAUACUGGAAGUCUUGAGUAUGGUAGAGGUGAGUGGAAUUCCGAGUGUAGAGGUGAAAUUCGUAGAUAUUCGGAGGAACACCAGUGGCGAAGGCGGCUCACUGGACCAUUACUGACGCUGAGGUGCGAAAGCGUGGGGAGCAAACAGGAUUAGAUACCCCUGUAGUCCCUGUCUAUUAUAC